This is a long non-coding RNA of Mauremys reevesii (Reeves's turtle), 491 nucleotides long. RefSeq lists it as uncharacterized. The record is from RefSeq and is a predicted model, not a curated record. NCBI's taxonomy places the organism in Eukaryota, Metazoa, Chordata, Testudines, Geoemydidae. The transcript is spliced from 3 exons.
CUGUCCUUCUCCACGAAGUCGAUGAAGGACGUGCGCUCGAUCUCCACGGGCUGCCCCUGCCGGUCGUACAUGGCCAGCACGAAGUGGAAGAAGUUGGAUUUCCGCAGCUGCCCUGAGUGAACCGGCCCCCAGAGACCACCACAGACCCCUGCUACGAGCCGGUGCGGGAGAGCCCAGGAGAGCCAGCGGCUGCUGCUGAGGCACGUCGAAGAUGCCAGAACGCAGGACUGAGCUAGACGCGGCACAUCCUGCCCCACGGCCUGGCAGCCCUGGCUUUCCCGGGGGAGCACCAGCCACCAGCGCUGUGACCCCCGGCACCCCGCAUUCAGCACUGCCAGCUCCGGUGCCUCUGAAAGCUGGAGGAGCUCAGUCCUACUCCGGCUGCUGCCACCAGUUUCCAGGCAGCCUUGGCGAGCAGAGAAGUAAGAGCUGCGCGGUCACAAGGGCCUUGCGCCUGGAGGCAGAGCCCCCCACGGAGCUGAACCCCAUCC